This 74-nucleotide transfer RNA is filed under the name Scardovia inopinata. RNAcentral's name for it is "tRNA-Trp(cca)". It matches the Rfam family "tRNA". Rfam says of the family: Transfer RNA (tRNA) molecules are approximately 80 nucleotides in length. Their secondary structure includes four short double-helical elements and three loops (D, anti-codon, and T loops). Lineage: Bacteria; Bacillati; Actinomycetota; Actinomycetes; Bifidobacteriales; Bifidobacteriaceae. The record is from RNAcentral.
AGGGAAGUGGCACAAUUGGUAGCGCAACGGUCUCCAAAACCGUAGGUUGUGGGUUCGAGUCCCGCCUUCCCUGC